Molecule: non-coding RNA, 30 nt
Filed under: Callithrix jacchus (white-tufted-ear marmoset)
Lineage: Eukaryota; Metazoa; Chordata; Mammalia; Primates; Cebidae
Also listed under: 1 other name
Source: RNAcentral
UGCCAUGGACUCGCUGACGGAUUUGGACUU